CCCAAAACAAGACAGAAAGCCCCCUCUCCCCCACGUCCAUAAAAAAGAAUAAAAAGAACCGUUAGCAGCACGCAUGACCUGACCUAUAAUCCAAACUUUAAUCUAAUGUUCAAUACCCUCGUCACCAACACGAAGAAAACACCAGCGCUGCUGUGCCCUCUUGCCGGGGUGCCUCCUUUGUCGCCGCCGUCGAAUUCAUCGUCGUGUCAUCGAAUAUCCCAACACCUAUAGUCGUCGAUUCCCACAGCCAAUUGCCCCCGACACGGAACGAGCUAAAUGCCUUUUGGACCGACAGUACCACCUCCAACAAAUCUGCCGAAGAGAUGUUAGGAUACGACGUGCGCAAGGAACCAAAAGAACCCACCCGAGCGUGCAACUUCAGUUUGACUUGCCAAUGGAUAAACUCGAACAUUGCCGGCGGGGGCAAUCGGAAAUCUUUCCCCGUGGGAUUUUCAGAGGGAUUAGGUAAAUCCAACUCCAUCGCGGCCCAACCACAAGCCGCCCGAUAGAAAACGCAGCAAUCGGGCCAUUGCAAAGACAAUCGAUCCGGGUGCUCGCAGCAAAGAACCCUGCGGUCGACACGAUCUUGCACAGUGGUUUCCUACAUCAGGUCCCCAU
Molecule: long non-coding RNA, 618 nt
Filed under: Eucalyptus grandis
Lineage: Eukaryota; Viridiplantae; Streptophyta; Magnoliopsida; Myrtales; Myrtaceae
Description: long non-coding RNA (EGRA_LNC004411)
Source: RNAcentral